This 471-nucleotide ribosomal RNA is filed under the name Tetrahymena tropicalis. Its description in RNAcentral is "SSU rRNA". It matches the Rfam family "Eukaryotic small subunit ribosomal RNA", at positions 1317 to 1831 of the family's 1831-position model. RNAcentral also lists the same sequence under 2 other names. The record is from RNAcentral. Lineage: Eukaryota; Ciliophora; Oligohymenophorea; Hymenostomatida; Tetrahymenidae.
GGUAUUCCGUUACGAACGAGACCUUAACCUGCUAACUAGUCUGCUUGUGAACAACAGGUUGUACUUCUUAGAGGGACUAUUGUGCAAGAAGCCAAUGGAAGUUUAAGGCAAUAACAGGUCUGUGAUGCCCCUAGACGUGCUCGGCCGCACGCGCGUUACAAUGACUGGCGCAGAAAGUAUUUCCUGUCCUGGGAAGGUACGGGUAAUCUUAUUAAUACCAGUCGUGUUAGGGAUAGUUCUUUGGAAUUGUGGAUCUUGAACGAGGAAUUUCUAGUAAGUGCAAGUCAUCAGCUUGCGUUGAUUAUGUCCCUGCCGUUUGUACACACCGCCCGUCGCUUGUAGUAACGAAUGGUCUGGUGAACCUUCUGGACUGCGAUAGCAAUAUUGCGGAAAAAUAAGUAAACCCUACCAUUUGGAACAACAAGAAGUCGUAACAAGGUAUCUGUAGGUGAACCUGCAGAUGGAUCAUUA